CAAGAACACUUUGGUAGAAAAGAGUGCUGAUGAAGAAGAGAGGGCAACACAAAAGAAGACCCAGAAGUAUCAUGGGCAAAUCAUGGACCAAGAACUGGAAUGAAUAUCUAGUGCACUACCCGAACUAAAGACUGCAGACGAGAAAGGGAAGACAGGGGUUUAACCAGCAAUUCAAAGUGAGGUGAUCAGCCUUCCGUUGACAGAGUUAACUGCGUGUGAAAGGUAAGGAGACCGUCCUACUGCCCCCUUUGCCUCAUUUACACAAAUAAGUUUAGUUCACUUCUUUACACUUAAAGGUCUACUUCACCAAGGGGCAUUUUGACUUUAAACUAGAUGAAGGGAUUUCUUAUUCCUGAUCUCUUUUUCUUGUGCUCUGCUUCUGCUGUUCUUUUGCUUCAGCUCAUUUUUUAGUCUGUUCUUUUAUUCCUUUGAAGGUUUCUUAGUAAAAGAGUGUUUGAAUUUUAGC
This 466-nucleotide long non-coding RNA is filed under the name Callithrix jacchus (white-tufted-ear marmoset). Its description in RNAcentral is "lncRNA (ENSCJAG00000082381.1)". The record is from RNAcentral. Lineage: Eukaryota; Metazoa; Chordata; Mammalia; Primates; Cebidae.